RNAcentral lists this ribosomal RNA (252 nucleotides) under uncultured bacterium. Its description in RNAcentral is "partial 16S ribosomal RNA". It matches the Rfam family "Bacterial small subunit ribosomal RNA", at positions 524 to 776 of the family's 1533-position model. The record is from RNAcentral.
UACGGGGGGGCAAGCGUUGUUCGGAAUUACUGGGCGUAAAGGGCUCGUAGGCGGCCCACUAAGUCAGACGUGAAAUCCCCAGGCUCAACCUGGGAACUGCGUCUGAUACUGGAUGGCUUGAAUCCGGGAGAGGGAUGCAGAAUUCCAGGUGUAGCGGUGAAAUGCGUAGAUAUCUGGAGGAAUACCGGUGGCGAAGGCGGCAUCCUGGACCGGCAUUGACGCUGAGGAGCGAAAGCCAGGGGAGCAAACGGG